UUGCCUGUAGCUCAGAGGAAAGAGCAACCGCCUUCUAAGCGGUUGGUCGCUGGUUCGAAUCCGGCCAGGCGAGCCA
This 76-nucleotide transfer RNA is filed under the name Citrobacter freundii. RNAcentral describes it as "tRNA-Arg". It matches the Rfam family "tRNA". Rfam says of the family: Transfer RNA (tRNA) molecules are approximately 80 nucleotides in length. Their secondary structure includes four short double-helical elements and three loops (D, anti-codon, and T loops). Further hydrogen bonds mediate the characteristic L-shaped molecular structure. tRNAs have two regions of fundamental functional importance: the anti-codon, which is responsible for specific mRNA codon recognition, and the 3' end, to which the tRNAs corresponding amino acid is attached (by aminoacyl-tRNA synthetases). tRNAs cope with the degeneracy of the genetic code in two manners: having more than one tRNA (with a specific anti-codon) for a particular amino acid; and 'wobble' base-pairing, i.e. permitting non-standard base-pairing at the 3rd anti-codon position. RNAcentral also lists the same sequence under 15 other names. The record is from RNAcentral. Lineage: Bacteria; Pseudomonadati; Pseudomonadota; Gammaproteobacteria; Enterobacterales; Enterobacteriaceae.